This 253-nucleotide ribosomal RNA is filed under the name uncultured bacterium. Its description in RNAcentral is "partial 16S ribosomal RNA". It matches the Rfam family "Bacterial small subunit ribosomal RNA", at positions 524 to 776 of the family's 1533-position model. The record is from RNAcentral.
UACGUAGGUGGCAAGCGUUGUCCGGAUUUAUUGGGCGUAAAGGGAGCGCAGGCGGUGACUUAAGUCUGAUGUGAAAGCCCACGGCUCAACCGUGGAAGGUCAUUGGAAACUGGGUCACUUGAAUAUAGAAGAGGAAAGUGGAAUUCCAUGUGUAGCGGUGAAAUGCGUAGAUAUAUGGAAGAACACCAGUGGCGAAGGCGACAUUCUGGUCUGUUACUGACACUGAGGCUCGAAAGCGUGGGGAGCAAACAGG